RNAcentral lists this ribosomal RNA (402 nucleotides) under uncultured bacterium. RNAcentral's name for it is "bacterial SSU rRNA". It matches the Rfam family "Bacterial small subunit ribosomal RNA", at positions 337 to 738 of the family's 1533-position model. The record is from RNAcentral.
UCCUACGGGAGGCAGCAUUGAGGAAUAUUGGUCAAUGGGCGCAAGCCUGAACCAGCCAUCCCGCGAGAAGGAAGAAGGCCCUACGGGUUGUAAACUUCUUUUCUGUGAGAAGAAUAAGCUCGUCGAGACGAGUGAUGUCGGUACGACAGGAAUAAGCAUCGGCUAACUCCGUGCCAGCAGCCGCGGUAAUACGGAGGAUGCAAGCGUUAUCCGGAUUUAUUGGGUUUAAAGGGUGCGCAGGUGGUUUAAUAAGUCAGUGGUGAAAGUCUGGCGCUUAACGUUAGGAUUGCCAUUGAUACUGUUAGCCUUGAAUAUGGAUGAGGUAGGCGGAAUGUGUAGUGUAGCGGUGAAAUGCUUAGAUAUUAGCACAACACCGAUAAAAAGGCAGCUUACUAAUCCAUC